RNAcentral lists this long non-coding RNA (354 nucleotides) under Elaeis guineensis (African oil palm). RNAcentral's name for it is "long non-coding RNA (EGUI_LNC049973)". Lineage: Eukaryota; Viridiplantae; Streptophyta; Magnoliopsida; Arecales; Arecaceae. The record is from RNAcentral.
UCAUGUGCCAACUUCCUCCAUCCUUAUCCCUUUCUUUUGUAGCCCCUUUUGUGAGUUAUUUCAUGCUCUCCAUAAAAUUUAUGAGGGAGGGGGUGUCCAAGAGUUGGACGCCCCAUGGACUCCUUGUUAGACUAGGUUUUAUGACCUAGUCUACCAUAUAAAAAGUUGCCGCCCCAUAUGCUAUGAAAUAGGAGUCAAAAAUUCAUGGCUUUUAGAUAGAAAUAGUAGAGGAGAAAGAGGAAGGCAUGGGUAGUUUGAGGUGCCAAAAUCCUUAGAGGAGAGUCUUCAAUCAAGAGAUCAAAGGUUGAUAUCUUGUAGAGAGAAAGGUAAGAGAAAAGAUUGUCUUCUCUCAUU